GGGGGAUUAAAGAAAACCUGGUAUUAAUUCAUGGGUAUGAAUAGAGCCCUGCAGAAAUGAAACAGAGCUACACCCACAUGCAGCCAUUUACAUUUUUUGUUUCCGGAGAAGCUGAUCCCUUAUCAAAUCAAACCUGAACAUAACAGAACAUGAAAUAAAACUUAAAACUGGCACUGCGAGGAUCUAUGGUGCAAACCUGCUACUGAGAUUCAACCAGAGUCUUUGGCUCGGCUGGGUGACACACGGGGGAUAGGUGUGUGUAUAUAUAUAUGUGCCGCCUCCAAUCCUGCUACCUACCACACCCACACCUCACUGUCUCCAGCGCGCUAGAGAGGAAGGAGAGAUGGGACCCGCAUCGCAUCCCGGGCAGCGCCCUGGCAGGGCAAGCCCAGCCAUUCGCUCCUGCUCCAACUCUUGCCCUCUGCCGUCUGUAACGGGAGGGCAAGAAUAUCUGGCAGCUCUCUUGAUCUUUCGAAAUAAUCACGUUGAGCCUGCCAGUGGGUAUCUCCUCCCUCCUAGCUAAACAAAUACACCGGCAGGAUUCUAAACAGCGGUGGAGAAUUUGUAACAAAAUGUGUCAUUCGCCACCAUCAAGCCCCCUUUAUUGCAUUUCCCCUACUUUUGUUAUAUAACAGAACCUCUGACACGCGUUUAUUUGCUUACAACAGUAUCAGGAACCGGUAGCAGACAGUUAAGCCUUCAGGGCUUGCCAUGCAGUUAUUAAACAGUUCAGUUUGUUAAUAUUUCAAGCUUGACCCUGCCAGGAGGAUAUGCAUAGACACCCUGACCCUAUUCUGGCUUCUUAAAGUACUUUUGUAAUCAGCUGUUAACUAUACAAAUAACUUUGCUGCUAAGGAUUAUCAGAUAAUCGUAUUUUAUUAACUGAGAGGCAGCCUGUAAAUAUUUAGUUUUAUUAUCUUGCAGGGUAUCAAAUAUUACUCCAAAUUUCCUCCUCGCAGAUUUCUCCCCUUUAGACCUUUGAAAAGUUGUGCAAGUUGAAUUUUAUUAUUUAUAUUUUGAGAGGUGGUAAACAUUUCGCUUUGUUUGACUGGGGUAAUUGUG
Long non-coding RNA from Mauremys reevesii (Reeves's turtle), 1062 nucleotides. RefSeq lists it as uncharacterized. NCBI's taxonomy places the organism in Eukaryota, Metazoa, Chordata, Testudines, Geoemydidae. The transcript is spliced from 3 exons. The record is from RefSeq and is a predicted model, not a curated record.